AAGACUGGGAUAACUCCGGGAAACCGGGGCUAAUACCGGAUGCUUGAUUGAACCGCAUGGUUCAAUCAUAAAAGGUGGCUUUUAGCUACCACUUGCAGAUGGACCCGCGGCGCAUUAGCUAGUUGGUGAGGUAACGGCUCACCAAGGCGACGAUGCGUAGCCGACCUGAGAGGGUGAUCGGCCACACUGGGACUGAGACACGGCCCAGACUCCUACGGGAGGCAGCAGUAGGGAAUCUUCCGCAAUGGACGAAAGUCUGACGGAGCAACGCCGCGUGAGUGAUGAAGGCUUUCGGGUCGUAAAACUCUGUUGUUAGGGAAGAACAAGUGCUAGUUGAAUAAGCUGGCACCUUGACGGUACCUAACCAGAAAGCCACGGCUAACUACGUGCCAGCAGCCGCGGUAAUACGUAGGUGGCAAGCGUUAUCCGGAAUUAUUGGGCGUAAAGCGCGCGCAGGCGGUUUCUUAAGUCUGAUGUGAAAGCCCCCGGCUCAACCGGGGAGGGUCAUUG
This 510-nucleotide ribosomal RNA is filed under the name Ensifer sp. NM-2. RNAcentral describes it as "bacterial SSU rRNA". It matches the Rfam family "Bacterial small subunit ribosomal RNA", at positions 134 to 628 of the family's 1533-position model. The record is from RNAcentral. Lineage: Bacteria; Pseudomonadati; Pseudomonadota; Alphaproteobacteria; Hyphomicrobiales; Rhizobiaceae.